UACGUAGGGUGCAAGCGUUGUCCGGAAUUAUUGGGCGUAAAGAGCGUGUAGGCGGCCCGACCAGUCCGCUGUGAAAGUCCAGGGCUCAACCCUGGAAUGCCGGUGGAUACUGUCGGGCUAGAGUCCGGAAGGGGCGAGUGGAAUUCCUGGUGUAGCGGUGAAAUGCGCAGAUAUCAGGAGGAACACCAAUGGCGAAGGCAGCUCGCUGGGACGUGACUGACGCUGAGACGCGAAAGCGUGGGGAGCAAACCGG
Molecule: ribosomal RNA, 253 nt
Filed under: uncultured bacterium
Lineage: Bacteria
Description: partial 16S ribosomal RNA
Rfam family: Bacterial small subunit ribosomal RNA
Source: RNAcentral